RNA transcript from Ziziphus jujuba (common jujube), 2516 nucleotides. RefSeq lists it as uncharacterized. The transcript has 7 exons. Lineage: Eukaryota; Viridiplantae; Streptophyta; Magnoliopsida; Rosales; Rhamnaceae. The record is from RefSeq and is a predicted model, not a curated record.
UAUUUACAAAGACUUAAGGACUAAGGAAUUUCUGAUGGGUGGCAUGUCCUAUCUCUCCAAACUUAGAAAUGAAAUUUAAUCUAUAACAGUUAGAUAAAUAAUUGGAGGCUGCGAGCGAUUUUACUUAAUAUUCUUGAAGGAUUUCAAAUACAUAUCAGAGAUUCCUAUUCCUGAUUCCCCGCGCUUCUUAUUCGGACCCGACAAUUUAGGCACAUUAUUUUCGCCCAAAAAAAUCAAUUGCCAUGUUUUUUUGAAAAUAUCCUCGGAGUUUGACUCAUCUCCUUUUUUUUCUUGUCUUCUACAAUUCCCUCCCUUGUCAAACUAAAGCUAAAGCUUUUGUUCAAUAGUAUGUUUGAUUCAUUGAUGAACAAUAUAUUAGUUUGUUAAUCAAAGUAAUUGAUUUUACUUUCUCCGUUUGUUUGUUUGUUUCAGGGGAAUUCUUUUAAUGUUUGUGUCGUAGUUUUGUUUAUCUAUCAGCUGGGGGCUAGAAAUGGAUUCUUGUCCUGAUCUUUAUCCUUUAACAAGUUUGCAGAUUAGGGAUAUAAAGGCACAUCUUUCACAGGCAUUCUUAUAUUUUGCCCCUAUUAGCCAUAAGUUUUUUAUCCUGGUUGAUAAUCAAUCGUGGCAGAAAAACAAGCAUUCAAGAUCAACCCACAUAAGGGAAUUAAUGAUCACGAAGUACAGGAGGUCACCUUUUAAGAACACAAAAGGUUUGCCAAAAUCUCCAAGUUUCUGCUUGGAUUCAUUUAGCCAUGAAAGGAAGAACUUGUUUAAGUGGUUGCGCAUCAUUAACAUGGCUACUUGGAGAGAGAAAUCACCUUUCUCCAUGAUGAAUUUGUACAAGGCCUUGCACGGUUUUCUUGUUUUCGAAGUAGCGUGGAAAAAUGUUCAAGGAAUCAACUAUUUAAAUGAGCUUCAGGCAGAUGCAUCCAUGGCUUUAGAAGUGAAGGCUCUGAGAAGGUGGGAAUUCAAUGGCAUUGAGCAAGCUUUGAGCUGUAUUUCAUCUUGGUUCUCAGGCACUUCAUCUGAAACACAAACAUUGAAGAGUAACCUAAUCUUGUUACUCGACAAAGUUCCUUCUAAUUCUUCAUGGGGAAUAACUGUAGCUUCCAAGGAAUUGCUGCUUAAUGAAGCAUCGCAAGCUGAGCUUUUCUCUGAAGAUGUUUUCUUUGAUGUUAGAGACCCUCCUUUUGACACAGAUGAUAUAGCUUGUAUGGAUCAUCAGGUGGAAGAACCAAGUGUUGAAGAAGAUAAUGACAUUGAAAGUGUGGAAUACAAGGACACCCUUUUACUAUUAAGGUUCAACAAUAAAGAUCUUCCAUCUAAAUUGAGACAGAUAAUAACCUCCGACUUGAAGCUUCUCACUUUGCUCGAAUCAGGUCUUCCUACAUGGGUUAUCUUCUUCCAAUCCUAUCCAUUGUUCUGUAAACUUUAUUGUCCCUGGAUGCGACCUCUAUUUCGAACUCUAUAUAUAUUGAUUUCACUUGUAACUGUUAUUAUCGGAUUUUAUGAUCUCUAUAAGAAUGUACCUCUCUUGAAGGCAGCUGCAUCUCACCUUUGUGGACCACUUUUCAAGUGGAUUGAAGCAUGGGAUGUGAAAGCAAGACUCAGAUAUCUAGGGACAAUGUUAUUUCUUCAGAAUUUUGAGAAGGCAAUGAAAUGGUCUUUAGUAGCGACUCGUUCAGUGAAGUUGCUAGUUUCACUUCUCACAAAACCCUUCAUUUAUCCUCUCAAAGAGAUGUUAGACAUUUUAACACCAUUAUGGAACCUUUUUUCUGAAAUGGGUGAGCUAUUCUAUAGUAAUGUUUGGAUUCUGGUGAAGUACUUUUACAGUGUGAUUUUCGGGUUUAUUGAAGUUUUAAUCUCACCGUUGGAGGUUCUCUAUGCAUAUCUAUUGAUUUUAGUCAAAUUGGCCUCUCCAUUCUUUAGCAUGUUGUGGAAAUUAUUUGUUUUUCCUACCCGAGGUUGUCUCCUGUUGGCAAAUUAUGGGUGUUAUCUGUUCUCUGACAUCUAUGAAGUUCUUGUAAAAGUCAUACAUUUUGUUGCAAGCAAUGUGAGUCAACUUACAUAUUUUUCUCGUGUAAAGCCUCAGUCAUCAGAGAACUCAUUUUGGCAAACUCUUUGGAAAGACCUCUUCUCAAAGUAUCUACAACCAACUUAGAGCUACACUUUAUCACCUUUCUAACGUUGGUUCUGUCCCUAGUAAAUGUCCUUGUCGUCGAUUGCUUCAAGUUGAAAGCAACCUUAAGGUUGAUGCCAAAGAAUGUGAACGUUGCAAAUAAGUCUUAGUCAAAAUGUGCAUCACUAUAAUAGAGCAAAGUCUCCUUUUCAUAUUUAUGUUACACUGUAUAGUUGUUUUCAUUUUUUAUUUUUUUUGGUUUUUAAUAUUUUUAGAUGAUAUUUAUAGUGAACUCGUAAAAUUGGACUUAUAGUAGCUAUACUUCUAUUUGUAAAUGGAUUGACCAUUUUUCCUUUUUCCUUCUUCAUCUUUUGGUGAGAUUAAUUACACUGUAAUA